UUGGAGGGCAAGUCUGGUGCCAGCAGCCGCGGUAAUUCCAGCUCCAAUAGCGUAUAUUAAAGUUGUUGCAGUUAAAAAGCUCGUAGUUGAAUUUCGGGAUCAAUGUUUCGGUCAUGCCGUUGGUAUGUACUGAUACUAUUGAUUUCUCACCUUCUAAAGAACCGUAAUGCCAUUAAUUUGGUGUCACGGGGAAUUAGGACUGUUACCUUGAAAAAAUUAGAGUGUUUAAAGCAGGCUCACGCUUGAAUACAUUAGCAUGGAAUAAUGAAAUAGGACAUCCGAUUCUAUUUUGUUGGUUUCUAGGAUCGAUGUAAUGAUUAAUAGGGAUAGUUGGGGGCAUUAGUAUUCAAUUGUCAGAGGUGAAAUUCUUGGAUUUAUUGAAGACUAACUACUGCGAAAGCAUUUGCCAAGGAUGUUUUCAUUAAUCAAGAACGAAAGUUAGGGGAUCGAAGACGAUCAGAUACCGUCGUAGUCUUAWCCAUAAACUAUGCCGACUAGGGAUCGGAUGAUGUUAAUUUUUUAAUGACUCAUUCGGCGCCUUACGGGAAAC
This 550-nucleotide ribosomal RNA is filed under the name uncultured Glomeromycotina. Its description in RNAcentral is "SSU rRNA". It matches the Rfam family "Eukaryotic small subunit ribosomal RNA", at positions 550 to 1109 of the family's 1831-position model. The record is from RNAcentral. Lineage: Eukaryota; Fungi; Glomeromycota.